RNAcentral lists this ribosomal RNA (344 nucleotides) under Desulforamulus aquiferis. Its description in RNAcentral is "bacterial SSU rRNA". It matches the Rfam family "Bacterial small subunit ribosomal RNA", at positions 841 to 1180 of the family's 1533-position model. Lineage: Bacteria; Bacillati; Bacillota; Clostridia; Eubacteriales; Peptococcaceae. The record is from RNAcentral.
CAGUGCCGUAGUUAACACAAUAAGCACUCCGCCUGGGGAGUACGGUCGCAAGACUGAAACUCAAAGGAAUUGACGGGGGCCCGCACAAGCGGUGGAGUAUGUGGUUUAAUUCGACGCAACGCGAAGAACCUUACCAGGGCUUGACAUCCUCUGAAAAGCAUAGAGAUAUGCUCCUUAUCCUUCGGGGUAACAGAGAGACAGGUGGUGCAUGGUUGUCGUCAGCUCGUGUCGUGAGAUGUUGGGUUAAGUCCCGCAACGAGCGCAACCCCUAAGAUUAGUUGCCAGCACGUAAAGGUGGGAACUCUAAUGUGACUGCCGUUGACAAAACGGAGGAAGGUGGGGAU